Molecule: long non-coding RNA, 1204 nt
Filed under: Mus musculus (house mouse)
Lineage: Eukaryota; Metazoa; Chordata; Mammalia; Rodentia; Muridae
Description: long non-coding RNA chr12:78321881-78323085
Source: RNAcentral
UAGCAGCCUUAUUUAUAAUCGCCAGAAUCUGGAAAGAACCCAGAUGCCCCUCAACAGAAGAAUGGAUACAGAAAAUGUGGUACAUUUACACAAUGGAGUAUUAGUCAGCUAUUAAAAAGAAUGAAUUUAUGAAAUUCCUAGGCAAAUGGAUGGACCUGGAGGGCAUUAUCCUUAGUGAGGUAACCCAAUAACAAAAGAACUCACAUGAUAUGUACUCACUGAUAAGUGGAUAUUAACUCAGAAACUUAGAAUACCCAAGAUACAAGAUACAAAGCAUAUGAAACUCAAGAAGAACAAACACCAAAGUGUGGACACUUUGCCCCUUCUUAGAAUUGGGAAUAAAACAUCCCUGGACCGAGUUACAGAGACAAAGUAUGGAGCUGAGAUAAAAGGAUUGAACAUCUAGAGACUACCAUAUCCAGGAAUCCAUUCCAUAAUCUGCCACCAAACGCAGACACCAUUGCAUACACUACCAAGAUUUUGCUGAAAGGACCCAGAUAUAGCUGUCUCUUGUGAGACUAUGCCGGGGCCUAGCAAACACAGAAGUGGAUGCUCACAGUCAGCUAUUGGAUGGAUCACAGAGCCCCCAAUGGAGGAGCUAGAGAAAGUAUUCAAGGAGCUAAAGGGAUCUGCAAACCUAUAGGUGGAACAACAAUAUGAACUAACCAGUACCCCCCGCAGCUCGUGUCUCUAGCUGCAUUUGUAUCAGAAGAUGGCCUAGCUGGCCAUCAGUGGAAAAAGAGGCCCAUUGGUCGUGCAACCUUUAUAUGCCUCAGUACAGGGGAAUGCCAGGGCCAAGAAGUGGGAGUGGGUUGGUACGGGAGUGGGGUGGAGGGUAUGGGGGACUUUUGGGAUAGCAUUGGAAAUGUAAAUGAGGAAAAUACCUAAUUAAAAAAUAACAAUAAUAAUAAAUCCAAUUCUAAAAACCUGUCUGCUCUCAUAUGCUCCUUUAACUUGCCUCAAUGCAAAUAUACAUGCAGCUCACAAGAGAAUUCCUCGAGCAUCUUUCUUCCAGACCCAGUGGCCUGUUGGAGAAGGGACACCAGACACACGAACAGUGUGAAGCCAGGAGACAUCCUUAGCACACAUUAUCGAAUAUUUGUGAAUGACGUUCAACCAGGAAGAGUAGCACAUUUUUGCAAUCCCAAGAAUGAGAAGGUAGAGCGAGGAAGAUUUGGAAGUUAAUGUCAGUCUCAGGUAAAUG